Molecule: ribosomal RNA, 406 nt
Filed under: uncultured bacterium
Lineage: Bacteria
Description: partial 16S ribosomal RNA
Rfam family: Bacterial small subunit ribosomal RNA
Source: RNAcentral
GACGCACGCUGGCGGCGUGCCUAAUACAUGCAAGUCGAACGAGCGGCGGACGGGUGAGUAAUGUAUGGGGAUCUGCCCGAUAGAGGGGGAUAACUACUGGAAACGGUGGCUAAUACCGCAUACUAUCGGAUGAACCCAUAUGGGAUUAGUUAGUAGGUGGGGUAAAGGCUCACCUAGGCGACGAUCUCUAGCUGGUCUGAGAGGAUGAUCGGCCACACGGGGACUGGACCACGGCCCGUGCUCCUACGGGAGGCAGCAGAGGGGAAUUUUGCACACUGGGGGCAAGCCUUCUGCAACCAUGCCGCGUGUAUGAAAAAGGCCUUAGGGUUGUAAAGUACUUUCACCGGGGAGACGUUACCCGCAGAAGAAGCACCGGCUAACUCCGUGCCAGCAGCCGCGGUAAUAC